GGGUUGUGAGGUUAAGCGACUAAGCGUACACGGUGGAUGCCCUGGCAGUCAGAGGCGAUGAAGGGCGUGCUAAUCUGCGAUAAGCGCCGGUAAGGUGAUAUGAACCGUUAUAACCGGCGAUACCCGAAUGGGGAAACCCAGUGUGAUUCGUCACACUAUCAUUAACUGAAUCCAUAGGUUAAUGAGGCGAACCGGGGGAACUGAAACAUCUAAGUACCCCGAGGAAAAGAAAUCAACCGAGAUUCCCCCAGUAGCGGCGAGCGAACGGGGAGGAGCCCAGAGCCUGAAUCAGCAUGUG
RNAcentral lists this ribosomal RNA (298 nucleotides) under Salmonella enterica. RNAcentral describes it as "partial 23S ribosomal RNA". It matches the Rfam family "Bacterial large subunit ribosomal RNA", at positions 1 to 290 of the family's 2925-position model. Lineage: Bacteria; Pseudomonadati; Pseudomonadota; Gammaproteobacteria; Enterobacterales; Enterobacteriaceae. The record is from RNAcentral. RNAcentral also lists the same sequence under 1 other name.